AAGCUUCCCGUAUUUGUCCCGAUAAAUUAGUUUCUUAACCUUUACGAGUGUUUCAAUACCACCCUAUACUAGUUCAGACUGAUUUUUUUUAACCCUUUUAAGCCCUCUCCCAGACGCGCUGUGUAUAACCACAAAUGUGGGCAUUUAAUGCUUUUAUGUAAUCGUAAAAUUAAAAAUAAAAAGGAAAAAAAUAAUUUAUCAGCUCUAAUUAAAACCUCCCCCAAAAGGUAAUAUUUCCCUUUGCAUCCAAUUUUUCUUCUACCAUAUCUACCUCAAGAACCCUAAUUUUCCCCCUACCAAAUCAGCCAUAACUAUUGUUCAAGAUUGGAUUUUUGAAGGCAAAGGGACGACUUCCAAAUGCCUUCCAAAAAGUUGACUAGGAUUUAUAUGAAAGAGGACGAUCAUGCAUCUACUGAAGAAGUGCGAUGUAAUCAUGGAUAUUUGCUGCCACCGUUAAUCUUUUGGACCCUUAGAAAUCCUGGUAGAAGGUAUUGGGCUUGUCCAUACUAUGAGGGUGCUCGAGCAUGUGAUUUUUGGCGUUGGAGGGAUGGUGAAAUUGACCCUAGAUCAAAGCUUGUUAUUCCUAAAUUGAAGGAAGAGAUCGGGAUACUUGAGAGCCAAGUUGAAGAUUUUGGAAAACUUGACAAUCCGACGGCAACAAAGAAGGAUGACAUGAGAUUGAUAAGAUAUGCAUUCAACUAGAUUGCUUAGAAAAUGAAGUUUAGAAGAUGAAAGAAAGGGAGAAGAAAUGGAUGAGCAAAGCUGCUCGAUCAAGGAAAAGGGAGAAUGUUUUUUGGUUUAUCAUUUUAUGUUGUGUUAUUAUCGACAUUAGUACUAGGUUUCAAGUGUUGUAUUUGAAGGAUGAUGAAAUAAAGUUGCCAUAGGCUCUUUGUUUUAUACAUUUGGUGUAAUUGUUGAACAUGGUUAGUAUAGCAUUAGUUGUAUUGAAUAUUGGUGAAUACCUUAUAUAAACAAUUUUUGUUUUGUGGAAUGAAGUUGGUGCUUGUUUGA
Nicotiana tabacum (common tobacco) is the source of this 1011-nucleotide long non-coding RNA. RefSeq lists it as uncharacterized. The record is from RefSeq and is a predicted model, not a curated record. Lineage: Eukaryota; Viridiplantae; Streptophyta; Magnoliopsida; Solanales; Solanaceae.